GCCUCCUUGGCUCAGUUGGCUAGAGCGCGAGUCUCAUAGUUAUAUGUGAGGGCAGUACGUGUCUCUAUCUCGAGGUCGCAAGUUCGAGCCUUGCAGGGGGCA
Molecule: non-coding RNA, 102 nt
Organism: Desarmillaria tabescens
Lineage: Eukaryota; Fungi; Basidiomycota; Agaricomycetes; Agaricales; Physalacriaceae
Source: the annotation of a RefSeq genome assembly